AAUGAACGUUGGCGGCGUGGAUUAGGCAUGCAAGUCGAGCGAGAACCGUAGCAAUACGGGGACAGCGGCGAAAGAGAGAGUAAUACGUGGAUACCUACCCUCAGGAUCGGGAUAGCUACGGGAAACUGUAGGUAAUACCGAAUAAUAUCUCCGGAUCAAAGGUGUGAUUCCGCCGGAGGAGGGGUCCGCGUCCUAUUAGCUUGUUGGCGAGGUAACGGCCCACCAAGGCGAAGAUGGGUAUGGGGUGUGAGAGCAUGGCCCCACUCACUGGGACUGGGGCACUGCCCAGACACCUACGGGUGGCUGCAGUCGAGAAUCGUCGGCAAUGGGGGAAACCCUGACCGAGCGGCGCCGCGUGCGAGAUGAAGGCCUUCGGGUUGUAAAUCGCUGUCAGAGGGGAGGAAAUGUUGGUGGGUUCUCCCACCAAUUUGACCUAUCCUCAGAGGAAGGACGGGCUAAGUUCGUGCCAGCAGCCGCCGUAA
RNAcentral lists this ribosomal RNA (482 nucleotides) under uncultured bacterium. RNAcentral's name for it is "partial 16S ribosomal RNA". It matches the Rfam family "Bacterial small subunit ribosomal RNA", at positions 29 to 523 of the family's 1533-position model. The record is from RNAcentral.